UCAGCCCACUCAGGGUGGCUAUGGUCACCCCCAGCCCUACUGUGUCUGUGUGCAGGCUGGUGGAAAUUACCCAGAAGCUGGAUAUGCUUAAAGAGGAGCCUGGGAUCAUCAAUCGGAUGCCAGACUGUCCUGGAGUGCAGAACGCGCCCCACAGAGGUGGGCACUCUGUCCUUCUGAGUGGGACUCGGGGAACUUAGCCACUGCAGAGAACUGGUAACCAGCGCGUGUGUUGUCUCCUCAGGUCCCCUGAGCCAGAAGGGCUCCUUUGGCCCGUCCCCUGUGAGUGGCGGUGAAUGCUCCCCGCCCCCAGGCGCACAGCCCCCUGGAUGGCCGCCCUCUGCAAGCCUGAACUUGGCACGCCAUGACAUUGCAAGAGCCGACUUCGAUCCCGGCCCUGGCCCCGUGGCCAACAGCAGCUCCCGCGGCUCCUCUCCAGUGAAGGACAUGGACAACGCCAAGGUGAGCCUGGAGCCCGUGCCUUGGCCCACGCUGCUCCAUGGGCCCUCCGUUUCCCCUCUGUUCUCCAGCUGGCCUGGGCGUGGCGACCCUGCUGA
Molecule: long non-coding RNA, 554 nt
Filed under: Cavia porcellus (domestic guinea pig)
Lineage: Eukaryota; Metazoa; Chordata; Mammalia; Rodentia; Caviidae
Description: lncRNA (ENSCPOG00000031394.1)
Source: RNAcentral